RNAcentral lists this ribosomal RNA (510 nucleotides) under uncultured bacterium. RNAcentral describes it as "bacterial SSU rRNA". It matches the Rfam family "Bacterial small subunit ribosomal RNA", at positions 971 to 1480 of the family's 1533-position model. The record is from RNAcentral.
UUACCAUCCCUUGACGUCCAGUGAAUUUUCCAGAGAUGGAUUAGUGCCUUCGGGAACACUGAGACAGGUGCUGCAUGGCUGUCGUCAGCUCGUGUUGUGAGAUGUUGGGUUAAGUCCCGCAACGAGCGCAACCCUUAUCCUUAGUUGCCAGCACGUAAUGGUGGGAACUCUGGGGAGACUGCCGGUGAUAAACCGGAGGAAGGUGGGGACGACGUCAAGUCAUCAUGGCCCUUACGGGAUGGGCUACACACGUGCUACAAUGGCGCAUACAAAGGGCAGCAAGCCAGCGAUGGUUAGCGAAUCUCAUAAAGUGCGUCGUAGUCCGGAUUGGAGUCUGCAACUCGACUCCAUGAAGUCGGAAUCGCUAGUAAUCGUGGAUCAGAAUGCCACGGUGAAUACGUUCCCGGGCCUUGUACACACCGCCCGUCACACCAUGGGAGUGGGCUGCACCAGAAGUGGUUAGUUUAACCUUCGGGAGAACGAUCACCACGGUGUGGUUCAUGACUGGGG